RNAcentral lists this ribosomal RNA (493 nucleotides) under uncultured bacterium. RNAcentral's name for it is "partial 16S ribosomal RNA". It matches the Rfam family "Bacterial small subunit ribosomal RNA", at positions 29 to 508 of the family's 1533-position model. The record is from RNAcentral.
AGUGAACGCUGGCGGUAGGCCUAACACAUGCAAGUCGAACGGCAGCACAGUAAGAGCUUGCUCUUACGGGUGGCGAGUGGCGGACGGGUGAGGAAUACAUCGGAAUCUACUUUUUCGUGGGGGAUAACGUAGGGAAACUUACGCUAAUACCGCAUACGACCUACGGGUGAAAGCAGGGGAUCUUCGGACCUUGCGCGAUUGAAUGAGCCGAUGUCGGAUUAGCUAGUUGGCGGGGUAAAGGCCCACCAAGGCGACGAUCCGUAGCUGGUCUGAGAGGAUGAUCCGCCACACUGGAACUGGAACACGGUCCAGACUCCUACGGGAGGCAGCAGUGGGGAAUAUUUGGCAAUGGGCGCAAGCCUGAUCCAGCCAAACCGCGUGGGUGAAGAAGGCCUUCGGGUUGUAAAGCCCUUUUUUUGGGAAAGAAAAGCAGCAGGUUAAUACCCCGCUGUUCUGACGGUACCCAAAGAAUAAGCACCGGCUAACUUCGUGC